GAUGAACGCUGGCGGCGUGCCUAAUACAUGCAAGUCGAGCGAACAGACGAGGAGCUUGCUCCUCUGACGUUAGCGGCGGACGGGUGAGUAACACGUGGAUAACCUACCUAUAAGACUGGGAUAACUUCGGGAAACCGGAGCUAAUACCGGAUAAUAUAUUGAACCGCAUGGUUCAAUAGUGAAAGACGGUUUUGCUGUCACUUAUAGAUGGAUCCGCGCCGCAUUAGCUAGUUGGUAAGGUAACGGCUUACCAAGGCGACGAUGCGUAGCCGACCUGAGAGGGUGAUCGGCCACACUGGAACUGAGACACGGUCCAGAAUCCUACGGGAGGCAGCAGUAGGGAAUCUUCCGAAAUGGGCGAAAGCCUGACGGAGCAACGCCGCGUGAGUGAUGAAGGUCUUCGGAUCGUAAAACUCUGUUAUUAGGGAAGAACAAAUGUGUAAGUAACUAUGCACGUCUGGACGGUACCUAAUCAGAAAGCCACGGCUAACUACGU
Molecule: ribosomal RNA, 496 nt
Filed under: uncultured bacterium
Lineage: Bacteria
Description: partial 16S ribosomal RNA
Rfam family: Bacterial small subunit ribosomal RNA
Source: RNAcentral